AUGGGUUUGAAUAGAUUGAUGGAUUGCACGAUACCUUGCUUGAUCUUUCUUGCUGCGAGUCUACUACAUGUACAUGUGCACUCCGAUGCUGAUUCCUUAGAUGAAGGAUUCAUCAGCAUAGAUUGCGGGCUUCCAAGUGGAUCCAGCUACCUGGACGAGAAAACAGGUCUUAACUACACUUCAGACAAUGGGUACAUAAACAUGGGAGAGAACCACAACAUCUCUGCAGAGUACAAUGCGCAUGAACUGCUCAGGUCAAGUUUGAACCUGAGAAGCUUCCCCAAUGGAGGCCGGAACUGCUACACCUUAUCUCCUGCCACGGCAGGCCUCAAGUACCUCGUGAGAGUAACGUUCUUGCACGGGAAUUAUGAUGGUAAGGAGCGUGACCUCGUCAGGUCGCCACUGAUGUUUGAUCUCUACAUGGGGCUUCAUUUCUGGGACCGGAUCAGCGUCAGCAGCACUACAACGAUGUACGUCGCAGAGGCAAUCUUUGUGGCUGAGGUGAGCUCAAUAUCCGUUUGCUUGAUAGACAUUCACAGUGGGACUGCCUUUGUGUCGUCGCUGGAGAUGAGGCAGAUGAAAAGCUCAUUGUACCCAGUAGCCAUGCAAAAUCAGUCCAUCGCGCUCCAGGAACGGCGUAGCCUUGGUGCAAGCAGCCUAGUCAGGUGUCCGGAUGAUACCUACGAUCGUUUGUGGUGGCCAUCAAACGGUACCUCACGGUGGCUGAAUCUAUCGACAACAAGUGAAAUUAAACGUUAUUUAACUGAUACAGCUGAGGUGCCAAUUAGAGUGCUCCAAACUGCCGUCACCUCGCUUACCACCUCCAUCCCUCUCAACUUGUCGUGGGCAGUUCCUUCUGCCUGGCCGGCCAUGGCACCGCCUGGGUACUACCUCAAUUUGUAUUAUACUGAUUUCCAGAAUCAGAGCAGGCGGGAAUUUGAUAUAUAUUACAAUGGCUUCCUGUGGGAGACAAAUAAUCGGCCGGUCAGCCCAACCUAUCUCUUUGCAGACUAUACAGCUGCCACAGCUCUAUUCACUGAUGCCAGCGGUUUCUACAAUGUCUCCAUAAUCGCUACCAACACCUCUGUGCUCCCUCCCAUACUAAGUGCAUACAAGAUAUACUAUCUCAUCCAGCAUGAUGAUACCGCAACCGAUACACAAGAUGUUGAAGCAAUGAUGAAUAUCAAAAGUGAAUACCAAGUUGAGAAGAACUGGAUGGGUGACCCAUGUUUACCCGAAAAAUAUACAUGGAUUGGAUUGACAUGUAGAGGUGAUGGAGUGACAUCAAGAGUAAAAAGUUUGGACAUGUCCAACAGUGAUUUGCAAGGUGCAAUAUCUGAACAAUUUUCUUUUUUGAAAUCACUCCAAUACUUGAAUUUGUCAUUCAAUAAUUUAUAUGGACCAGUGCCUGAUUCUUUGACAAACUUAUUGUCCCUUCGUGUCCUCGAUCUAUCAGGGAAUCAUCUUGAUGGUCCAAUUCCUGAAGCUUUAUGCAUGGCACGCUCACUUACUUUAAGGUAUGACACCAUAAAUGGAGAUCCAUGCAAUGGAAAAUCACCACAUAAGGAAAACACCCUCCUCAUAACUGUCGUAGCAGUACCCGUGGUGAUAAUGGCAUUGCUGGCAUGUACAUUGACAGUGUUUUGUUUCUGCAGAAAGCAAGUUCCAAGUGUGCUACUGGGAUGUGUUGAUCUGCCAGGUCCCAAAAGUCAAGAAAACUGUAAAGGUCACAUACACACAUCCGACAGCCGUGAAUUCACAUAA
This 1764-nucleotide ribosomal RNA is filed under the name Triticum aestivum (bread wheat). Its description in RNAcentral is "partial small subunit ribosomal RNA". Lineage: Eukaryota; Viridiplantae; Streptophyta; Magnoliopsida; Poales; Poaceae. The record is from RNAcentral.